UACGUAGGGUGCGAGCGUUGUCCGGAAUUAUUGGGCGUAAAGAGCUUGUAGGCGGUUUGUCGCGUCUGCUGUGAAAAUCCGGGGCUCAACCCCGGACUUGCAGUGGGUACGGGCAGACUAGAGUGUGGUAGGGGGAGACUGGAAUUCCUGGUGUAGCGGUGGAAUGCGCAGAUAUCAGGAGGAACACCGAUGGCGAAGGCAGGUCUCUGGGCCCACUACUGACGCUGGAGAAGCGAAAGCAUGGGGGAGCGAACAGG
RNAcentral lists this ribosomal RNA (257 nucleotides) under uncultured bacterium. Its description in RNAcentral is "partial 16S ribosomal RNA". It matches the Rfam family "Bacterial small subunit ribosomal RNA", at positions 524 to 776 of the family's 1533-position model. The record is from RNAcentral.